This 128-nucleotide ribosomal RNA is filed under the name uncultured eukaryote. RNAcentral's name for it is "partial small subunit ribosomal RNA". It matches the Rfam family "Eukaryotic small subunit ribosomal RNA", at positions 1651 to 1774 of the family's 1831-position model. The record is from RNAcentral.
CCCUGCCAUUUGUACACACCGCCCGUCGCUACUACCGAUUGAAUGAUUUAGUGAGGUCUUCGGACCGGUUCGCGGUGGCGCUUCGGCGUCGCCGAUGUUGCUGGGAAGAUGACCAAACUUGAUCAUUU